GUGAAUCAUCAAAUCUUUGAACGCAAAUUGCGCUUCCUAGCAUCCCGGGAAGUAUGCCUGUUUGAGGGUCAGUAUUAACAAAAAAAUCGGUUUGGUUGCAAAUUGUGACGUUUCCGGAGUUUGGGCUAUCUUAACUUUUUUGGUUAAGGGGCUUAAAUUGAACUUUUUUUGGGCUUUUUUGACGGUAAUAAAUUUUUUUUUUUUUUCGUUUUUUUUAAUUGCCAAAUUUUUUUUAAUGCCAAUA
RNAcentral lists this unclassified non-coding RNA (244 nucleotides) under Glomus sp. RNAcentral describes it as "partial contains 5.8S ribosomal RNA and internal transcribed spacer 2". The stretch from base 1 to 71 matches the Rfam family "5.8S ribosomal RNA", at positions 84 to 154 of the family's 154-position model. The record is from RNAcentral. Lineage: Eukaryota; Fungi; Glomeromycota; Glomeromycetes; Glomerales; Glomeraceae.